This 410-nucleotide long non-coding RNA is filed under the name Homo sapiens (human). Its description in RNAcentral is "non-protein coding lnc-LRIG2-6:1". The record is from RNAcentral. Lineage: Eukaryota; Metazoa; Chordata; Mammalia; Primates; Hominidae.
AUGCCUGGAGUUACUGUAAAAGAUGUGGACCAGCAGGAGUUCGUCAGAGCUCUGGCAGCCUUUCUCAAAAAGUCUGGGCAGCUGAAAAUCCCCAAAUGGGUGGCCAAGCAUAAAGAGCUUGCUCCCUGUUAUGAGAACUGGUUCUACACACGAGCUGCUUCCACAGCGCGGCACCUGUACCUCUGGGGUUGGCUCCAUGACCAAGAUCGAUGGGGGACAUCAAAGAUGGCAUCAUGCCCAGCCACUUCAGUCGAGGCUCCAAGAGUGUGGCCCGCCAGGUUCUCCAAGCCCUGGAGGGGCUGAAAAUGGUGGAAAAGGGCCAAGAUGGGGGCCACAAACUAAUACCUCAGGGACAGAGAGAUGUGGACAGAAUCACCGGAGAGGUGGCAGCUGACAACAAGAAGCAUUAG